AUAAGAUUGUAGUAUCGCAUGAUAUAGCAAUUAAAGGAGCAAUUCGCUAUAAGAUGGACCCGCGUCGCAUUAGCUAGUUGGUGAGGUAAUGGCUCACCAAGGCGACGAUGCGUAGCCGACCUGAGAGGGUGAUCGGCCACAUUGGGACUGAGACACGGCCCAGACUCCUACGGGAGGCAGCAUA
RNAcentral lists this ribosomal RNA (184 nucleotides) under uncultured bacterium. RNAcentral's name for it is "partial 16S ribosomal RNA". It matches the Rfam family "Bacterial small subunit ribosomal RNA", at positions 173 to 353 of the family's 1533-position model. The record is from RNAcentral.